This 525-nucleotide long non-coding RNA is filed under the name Mus pahari (shrew mouse). Its description in RNAcentral is "lncRNA (MGP_PahariEiJ_G0002653.1)". The record is from RNAcentral. Lineage: Eukaryota; Metazoa; Chordata; Mammalia; Rodentia; Muridae.
UCACCCUUCUGGGCCAAGCCACUUCCAUUCUGCUGUCAGAUCCCAUGUGGGCAGAGUGAGCAGGGGAGGGUCCAUUCCCCAUUCUGGGGUUGUUGGUGGGAGACAGUCGCAGGAUUUCCCCUUCAGAAUGGGCUUGCAUUUCCUGUACACACAGCAGUGGCUGGUCAUCCCAGAAGUGGGGCAGGAAGCUGAAGAACAGAGAAGCAAGGUUUCCACCUCACCCUACCAUACACAUGCUUUGGACUUUGGAAUCGAAGUCCAGGGGGCAUCUUAGACCUGCCAGCUUGAGGAUGGACUCAUUCAAGAGGCACAAUGAGGGCACCUGUGCAGGAUGCUCAUGUCCGGAUAAAGAGAACAGCACUCAUGCGAGGUGGGAUGUUACCAAGGUCCCUACAUCUCUUGGUGCUGCCCUUGAGAACCUGACUCAAACCCACAAAGCUUCUCCAACCCCAGUCAAUAGGAGCCCUUCAAUGCCCAGCUUCAAAAAUGGGGAGGUAAUAAAGGUAAGAGGUGGACAGUCCCUUA